UCCCAUGCCAAGCGCGGCGCUCCGGGCUGCAGCGGCACGCUCCCCUCCCGCUCCGGCCCGGGACAAUAAACAUUGCCGGGCUGUCACUGCUGCCUCUCCCCUGCUGACAUUCAAUCAUUACGGUAUCUUAAGAACGUUUAAAUAGGUCAGGUUUUUAAUGGGAGAGCUUGGCUUCUGGGAGUGAGACUGACAGCCUUUUGAGAGCAGAUUAACAGCGCUGAUAAAUCAAUCUCAGACUGACUCACAGCCAUAAGAAAAAUAAGAAGAAGAAAAGGGAGCCUCGUUAAAUAAAUGGUCUCAGUCUUCGGCUCUGGAGAUGUACCGGAGGAGGGAAAGAAGGCUUUUGUCAUAUGCCUCGUCACUCUUCUUUCUCCAAAUUUGACCACAUCCCCCACUCUACCAAUGUCCUCUGUUGGAAGUUUUCCGUCUCCAGUGAUCUUGCCUGCCCAUCUCACCCUGCUCAUCAGGUCAGAGAUUAAUGGAAAAAUUAUGAAGGAGACGGAACAAAAAAAAUAUCAGAUCAUACACCUGAGGCUUCUUGCACAAAGCCAAAGUAUCUACUACGUAUGUAGGUAUAUGCAUUUCAGUCUCACCCAAUGGUCUAGAAAAGAAAAGGGAAAGAAAAUAUUAACAUAUCCAGUAUGAUGAUGCAAAGCUAGAUCGCUAUAAAAAUGCUGAACAGGAAUGGAACACUGGGCCCCUUUGAAGCUUCACUUUAAACACCAGUAGCUCAGCAGCAUGAAAACACUAAAGAACUCAUUUGACAAGACCACCAGCCCAGCUGAGUGACUCAUUUUCAUCAAAACUCACUCAGCAGAAAACCUUGGAUUUGGAUCUACGCAGCAUGUCCCACAGCAGCUUCUCACCAGCAGGUUCAUGUAUUCAAAUCUCUUCCCCAACAGAGCAUUUGGGAACAAUCUUGGUUGAAAAUCUGUUUACCACUCUGUGGGUGUACACUGUUAUUCAUCUCACCUUUCCAGAUGCCCUUCUGCAGGUCUGGUGGCUGUGCCUUGCUUCUGCUAGAGAAGAGAGUGAGAUCCUAACAAUAACUCCUGCAACAAGGGCAACAAAAUAACAUUUUUGUUUAUAUAGCUAUAGAAAAAUGUAUAUCAUGUUUUAAAAAUCAACCUGAUGUUUUUCUGAGGAUCCAAACUCACAGCAGGAGACUAGCUAAAAAAUUUAACACAGAACUUUGAGAAAAAUAUAGGCUAUUUUUGGGUGUGAAAAUGUGCAAUAUUAACAAAAAAAAGAGAGAAAAAAAAGAUAAAAGAAAAGGAAGCUGUGUUUUUUGAGUUGGAUCAUUCUGCCUCUUGCCUGUUAAGCAAUGCAGUCCUGGUAGACUCUAGUUCUUCUUGUACUGCAGUUGAUGGACAGGGAUUUUCCAUAGCGGAAACAUCUCCCCUGUUGUCAUCACUCAAAUGUGCACCAGAACCACAGAGAAGGAACUGCAGUUCUAAAGUCCAGGUGAUUUCCAUUGGAUUGCCAGCAUGGCCUUCAGACCUACCUUUACCCAUUACUGACACACCUUCAUACUUCAAGAUAUGCAAGACAUCAUGAUCAGAAGGAAAAUGAGAUUAAAUAAAUGGUGUGAUGCCGAAAUUACUGUCACCUUUCUAGGAAAGGGAAACUGAGGCAAAGGAAGUUCCUAUUUAAAAAUGUCUGUGUGGAGACUGAACGAGAGGCACCAGCUGGGGUUCCUGUACAAGAUUUCUGUCCUUCUGGAGGAGCAGAGUGAUAUUUUAAGAGCAGAGCCACUGGAGAAGCAUAAGACAGCCAGCAGCCACCAAACUCUAAAGAGGCUGGCACCAGGUUUGCCUGACUGAAGCCUUGCACAAAGCAGCCCAUUCCACACAGAUUUGGCUUUUAAUAUGGGUUAGGGCAUUUUUUUUUUUCACUAAAGGGAGAACAUAUACAAAGAAAUUCUGGAGGGAUUCUACCAGCACCAAAUGUUCUCUGGGGUUCUCCCUCAUUCCCAGCAGCAGGCAAGGUCUCAGUGGCAUGAGGGACAUUUCAAGCAGAAACAUGCAAGCCAUUCAACCAUUAAGCCAUUUAACCUUUCAAGACUAAAGCUAAGUGACACAGCUAAUCCCCCAGUGAAAGUGUGUGUUCUCUGUCUCUGCCAUAAGAGUGACAUCCCAGCCACUGCAGAAGAAUGGUGGUAAAUUGCAUUAUUUCCAGUCUCAUGGUGGAACUAGUUAAAAUUUUUUGGGCUGUACUCUAGAUGUAACAUUAAAUACAGCCACUGCUAAUAACUUAGCUUAAUUAUUAGCUGAUUUAUUAAUCUACAUGCAGGCAGAAGAUUUCAAUUAUUUUUAAUUAUAUGGAAAGUUCCAAGUGUCUUUUUUUAUUCCAUUAAGAUCGUUCAAAACUCUGUAAAACCUGCAAGCGCUUAAUUCUUUAAAUGACAGUUUUUAAUUAAUUUGAACUCAGGCUAAUUAAAAUAUUUGUAGAUUGCAACAACCUAAUUCAUUUUUAAAAGGCAAGCUUUUACAUCUGCAGCAAAUAUGCUCUAUUUUCCAUUGGGAUUAAAGAUCCUGCCCCUGUUUGAAGUGCAAAACCCUCUUCAGCCUUAACAGUGGAAUUACAAGUGACAGCAGGCAAUAGAAGCGCUCCAUCGGCUUGGGCUGUGUGCUACAAAUCACCUCCUGAGCGUUCCCAAGUUCACUGCUCCCACUUGCAUGAAAAUCUGGGCACUGGAGACAGGAACAAGAGUUUCAGCAAGCCUUUGGUGGUAACAGCCUUGGCUUAACCCCUCACAUAUCAAAUACCUCUUUGUGUAGCACUGGGUAAAGGGAAAAACCAAUGGCCGCCUCUGACAUCCACCCUGCAACAAAAUUUGCUAGGUACCCCCCAGAAACUCUAGCUUCAGUGGGUAGUUUCAAAAAGGAAAGGCAAAGGGCUUUAAAUUUGUAAGCCACAAAAAUAAGGCUGUGGUUGUGCUACAGAUGUCUCACCAAUCACAACUACUUUUGUCUUCUCUGGUGAUUUCUAAUGUCAUUUGACAAAGGGGAGGUGGCUCCGAUGACAGCCCAACAAAUCAGUAGCUGGCUGCAGGAUGGACUAUGAAGCCAACACAGUUAGGAGUUGUUUUUGUCAUAUUAUGUAUUCCAGAGCCCAGGCUUGCUAGCACCUCCAUAACUUCCAAACCAGAAUCAUGACUUGCCAUUUCCACCCCAGGAACAGAGGAGAAACCCCAUUGAUGGAAAGCUGCAGGAUGUGAUUGGACCAGGUCCUGUACAAUCCCACCUGGGCUCCCUUUCCCAUGAAAGGGUGAACCAGAGGAUCUUCCCAGGUCCCUUCCUACCUGGGCUGUGCUAUAAUCACUAGGGGCACAGAAAAGAAGAAACUUUUCUGUAGAACAAAACAAAGGCUUAAGGAGGACAAAGGACCUGAUCCCAUGGUGCAUAGAUUUUGCUGCUUUCAGUCUGUGCUGCUUUAAAGGCAUGAAAGUCACCGAGUCCUUGACUGGCAUGAGCCAAGUUGGAUUUUCAUCACAACACCUUCACACAGCUGCUGGCUAUGAGCUUCCUUCAUAUACAAAUAUAGCUAAUGUAUACA
Long non-coding RNA from Pyrgilauda ruficollis (rufous-necked snowfinch), 3558 nucleotides. RefSeq lists it as uncharacterized. The transcript is spliced from 3 exons. The record is from RefSeq and is a predicted model, not a curated record. NCBI's taxonomy places the organism in Eukaryota, Metazoa, Chordata, Aves, Passeriformes, Passeridae.